RNAcentral lists this ribosomal RNA (253 nucleotides) under uncultured bacterium. Its description in RNAcentral is "partial 16S ribosomal RNA". It matches the Rfam family "Bacterial small subunit ribosomal RNA", at positions 524 to 776 of the family's 1533-position model. The record is from RNAcentral.
UACAGAGGGUGCAAACGUUGUUCGGAAUUACUGGGCGUAAAGCGUGUGUAGGCGGCCACGUAAGUCGGAUGUGAAAGCCCCGGGCUCAACUCGGGAAGUGCACUCGAUACUGCGUGGCUUGAGUACUGGAGAGGUUGGUGGAAUUCUCGGUGUAGAGGUGAAAUUCGUAGAUAUCGAGAGGAACACCGGUGGCGAAGGCGGCCAACUGGACAGAUACUGACGCUGAGACACGAAAGCGUGGGGAGCAAACAGG